RNAcentral lists this ribosomal RNA (387 nucleotides) under uncultured bacterium. RNAcentral describes it as "bacterial SSU rRNA". It matches the Rfam family "Bacterial small subunit ribosomal RNA", at positions 28 to 417 of the family's 1533-position model. The record is from RNAcentral.
GACGAACGCUGGCGGCGUGCUUAACACAUGCAAGUCGAGCGGUAAGGCCCUUUUGGGGGUACACGAGCGGCGAACGGGUGAGUAACACGUGGGUGACCUGCCCUCAGCUCUGGGAUAAGCCUGGGAAACUGGGUCUAAUACUGGAUAUGACCUUUCCUCGCAUGGGGUUGGGUGGAAAGUUUUUCGGCUGGGGAUGGGCCCGCGGCCUAUCAGCUUGGUUGGUGGGGUGAUGGCCUACCAAGGCGACGACGGGUAGCCGGCCUGAGAGGGCGACCGGCCACAACUGGGACUGAGACACGGCCCAGACUCCUACGGGAGGCAGCAGUGGGGAAUAUUGCGCAAUGGGCGGAAGCCUGACGCAGCGACGCCGCGUGGGGAUGACGGCCU